CUGGUAAAAACUCCCAAAUUUUCUCAAUCGAAAUUGCCUUUUUUGCGAAUAAAAAAUCACUCUGUGAAAAGUUUGUCUUUUGAUUUCAAGCUAGAAAGUUAGAGAUGUGCGGUGGUGCUAUAAUCUCCGAUAUCAAACCGCCGGCCCGGACGUCGCGCCGGCUGACCUCUAAGUUGCUGUGGGGGAGCGCUGAUCGGAGCAGCGCAGGUGGGAAGAAGAAGAAGAAUUUUGCUGGAAGCUACUAUUCCGGAGGCCUGCGAUCCGCGGCUUUUGACCUCGAUAAUGAAUUCGAGACUGAUUUUCAGGACUUCAAUGACUAUGAUGAUGAUGAGGUCGUAGAGGUGGACGUCAAACCCUUCGCUUUCGGACUUUCUUCCGGUUUCGGCUCAGAAUCGAAGGACUUUGACCAAUCUAUGAAGAGAAAGAGGAAAAAUCAGUACAGGGGGAUCAGGCAGCGUCCUUGGGGCAAAUGGGCGGCUGAAAUCCGUGAUCCGAGUAAAGGUGUUCGCGUCUGGCUAGGAACUUUCGACACUGCUGAAGAAGCGGCGAGAGCCUAUGAUACUGAGGCUCGGAGGAUCAGAGGCAACAAAGCUAAGUUGAAUUUCCCUGCUGAAACUCAAGCAAAAUCGUCAAGGCGCACUGUCAAGGUGAAUCCACGGAAGGUGGUUCCUAAUACGGUUCAACCUGAUGCGAGUAGCAUGGACAAUAGCUAUUAUGAUCCUAUGAGUGUUUUGGAACAAAAACCGCAGGUGAAACUGUACGAUUCCGUGGGAGAUAUGGGACUGCUAUCAUAUCCCCCAUCUGGUGGUGCUAACCUUUAUUUCAAUUCUGAUGGUGGAAGCAACAAUUCCUUGGACUGUACUGAGCAUGGCUCAAGGACUCCAGAGAUAUCCUCUGCUCUGUCGGCUGGUGUUGAAGCUGAUGAGGUUCAGUUCAUUCAGGAAACCCACCCACAAAAGAAACUGAAGUCAACGGAGAAUACCACCGUUGAGAAGCUGUCUGAAGAGCUCUCGGCUUUUGAAGAUCAGAUGAAGUUCUUUCAGAUCCCUUAUCUGGAGGGGACCUGGGACUCAUCAGUUGACACAUACCUUAAUGUUGAUGGUGGAAACGCCUUAGAUCUCUGGUCAUUUGAUGAUGUUCCUUCUUUAAUGGGGGGUGUCUUCUAGCUAAACUGAUGCAGAGCAUCCCCUUUCUGGCUUGUGUUGUAUAUAAUCAAUCAUGUUGGUUUGUGGUUGUAGCCUGCUGGUGCUAAGAUGAUGGUGUCUGCAUUUGGGUGGUGUUGACUGUUGAGGGUUUAUAAAUAAACCUUAAUAAACACUGUGAGUCCUCCAUUUAAAUGUUUGUGUGGAGGAUGAUCGCCGACGAAUUGCUUCUUAUUAUGUGAUGUUGUGUGUGAUAUUUAAGUUGCUUGAAUUUAUUGUGUGCUAAUAACUUGUAAUGUAGAUCAACCAAAACUAAUCUUGGCUUUCGUAUUAA
This is an RNA transcript of Ipomoea triloba (trilobed morning glory), 1476 nucleotides long. It is a transcript of the gene named ethylene-responsive transcription factor RAP2-12-like, with no coding region annotated. The transcript has 3 exons. Lineage: Eukaryota; Viridiplantae; Streptophyta; Magnoliopsida; Solanales; Convolvulaceae. The record is from RefSeq and is a predicted model, not a curated record.